Molecule: ribosomal RNA, 489 nt
Filed under: uncultured bacterium
Lineage: Bacteria
Description: bacterial SSU rRNA
Rfam family: Bacterial small subunit ribosomal RNA
Source: RNAcentral
AGUAGUUUGAUCAUGGCUCAGGACGAACGCUGGCGGCGUGCUUAACACAUGCAAGUCGAACGGUGAAGGAAGAGCUUGCUCUUCCGGAUCAGUGGCGAACGGGUGAGUAACACGUGGGCAACCUGCCCCUGACUCUGGGAUAACUCCUCGAAAGAGGUGCUAAUACCGGAUACGACCACUUCGGACAUCCGAUGGUGGUGGAAAGUUUUUCGGUCAGGGAUGGGCCCGCGGCCUAUCAGCUAGUUGGUGGGGUAAUGGCCUACCAAGGCGACGACGGGUAGCCGGCCUGAGAGGGCGACCGGCCACACUGGGACUGAGACACGGCCCAGACUCCUACGGGAGGCAGCAGUGGGGAAUAUUGCGCAAUGGGCGAAAGCCUGACGCAGCGACGCCGCGUGAGGGAUGAAGGCCUUCGGGUUGUAAACCUCUUUCAGCAGGGACGAAGCGAAAGUGACGGUACCUGCAGAAGAAGCACCGGCUAACUACGUG